RNAcentral lists this ribosomal RNA (306 nucleotides) under uncultured bacterium. Its description in RNAcentral is "partial 16S ribosomal RNA". It matches the Rfam family "Bacterial small subunit ribosomal RNA", at positions 507 to 807 of the family's 1533-position model. The record is from RNAcentral.
GACAGCAGCAGCCGCGGUAAUACGAAGGGUGCGAGCGUUAAUCGGAAUUACUGGGCGUAAAGCGUGCGUAGGCGGUUUGUUAAGUCUGUUGUGAAAUCCCCGGGCUCAACCUGGGAAUGGCAAUGGAUACUGGCAAGCUAGAGUGUGUCAGAGGAUGGUGGAAUUCCCGGUGUAGCGGUGAAAUGCGUAGAGAUCGGGAGGAACAUCAGUGGCGAAGGCGGCCAUCUGGGACAACACUGACGCUGAGGCACGAAAGCGUGGGGAGCAAACAGGAUUAGAGACCCCGGUAGUCCCUGUCUCUUAUAC